AGAAAAACGCGUGGCUGGAGAAAAAUAUGUUAAAAUGGAUAAGAUAAUACAACAAAAGGAUGAUCAAAUUAUGAAGCUGCAGGCCCAAUUAUUGGAACAACACAAAAUAUUAGAUAACAGCAAAGCUAAGGAUGUUCAAAUUUUGAUACUACAAGCUCAGCUAGGGGAAAAGAACAAAUUGGAACGGAACAGUUUCCAAACAGUGAAGGAGGUUUUUCCAAACUCAUCCCUAACUGAACAUGAGGAUGAAUUGGCAUUAGGCGAACAGUCAGUUAUUCAGUCUACCACCUGACAGUGUGUUAAAGUUAAAUUCUGUUAGUGCUGCACUAAAAGAAUUGUUAGUAAUAAGUCCAUGCAGCGAAGGAAGUGAACAAUUGUGGGACCGUAUUUGGGCUGAAAAUAGGUGUGGUACGGAAACCCAGAAAUAGCACGAGUUCAACAUAAAACAUGAAUUAGAAUUUUAGUGGGGGAUCAAGUCAAGUCUGGAAGUGUUACAGGAUGGAAGAGUGAGCCUACAGUUGAAAAACACUGAAAGUGCAUUACCAUUAAGGUAUGAGGUAAAGUAAUAGAGUAUGCAAAUUGUCUAAUGAGAAGUGCCAUCUUGUGUGAAUGAAUCCUGUGUAACAGCAAUCCUUUAUAGUUCUGUCACAGCUAGAAGCCUCAAAUAAUUCUGCUUUCAUAAUUCUACAUCAUACAUGGACUUUUAGGAAAGGAUUUUCAGCAUACUGGGAACACAACUAUCAACAAUGCAACAUUCUAGGGGUGCUAUUUUAUCAUUCAAGAGCCUUAUACAAUGAUUUUCAUCUGCAAUCUGUAUGGCCUUUCCCAAGCUUCUGCC
Long non-coding RNA from Daphnia carinata, 838 nucleotides. RefSeq lists it as uncharacterized. The record is from RefSeq and is a predicted model, not a curated record. NCBI's taxonomy places the organism in Eukaryota, Metazoa, Arthropoda, Branchiopoda, Diplostraca, Daphniidae. The transcript has 6 exons.